ACAUACGACCAUAGCAUCUGGAAAACUCGGGAUCCCGUCCGCUCUCCCCUAGAUAAGCCAGAUAGCGCCGGAUUAGUAGUUGGGUCGGUGACGACCAGCGAAUCCCUGGUGUUGUAUGUU
This 120-nucleotide ribosomal RNA is filed under the name Eutypa lata UCREL1. Lineage: Eukaryota; Fungi; Ascomycota; Sordariomycetes; Xylariales; Diatrypaceae. The record is from RNAcentral.